Molecule: small nuclear RNA, 99 nt
Filed under: Chinchilla lanigera (long-tailed chinchilla)
Lineage: Eukaryota; Metazoa; Chordata; Mammalia; Rodentia; Chinchillidae
Source: RNAcentral
GCUGCUUGCUUUGGCACUAAAAUUGUAACAAGACACAGAAGAUUAGCAUGGCCCCUGUACAAGGAUGACAUGCAAAUUCAUGAAGCAUUCCAUAUUUAA